This 292-nucleotide ribosomal RNA is filed under the name uncultured prokaryote. Its description in RNAcentral is "partial 16S ribosomal RNA". It matches the Rfam family "Bacterial small subunit ribosomal RNA", at positions 505 to 796 of the family's 1533-position model. The record is from RNAcentral.
GUGUCACCAGCCGCGGUAAUACGGAGUGUGCGAGCUUUAAUCGUAAUUACUGGGCGUAAAGCGCAUGCAGGUGGUGGAUUAAGUCAGAUGUGAAAGCCCGGGGCUCAACCUCGGAACCGCAUUUGAAACUGGUUCACUAGAGUACUGUAGAGGGGGGUAGAAUUUCAGGUGUAGCGGUGAAAUGCGUAGAGAUCUGAAGGAAUACCGGUGGCGAAGGCGGCCCCCUGGACAGAUACUGACACUCAGAUGCGGAAGCGUGGGGAGCAAACAGGAUUAGAAACCCCUGUAGUCC